Molecule: long non-coding RNA, 438 nt
Organism: Columba livia (rock pigeon)
Lineage: Eukaryota; Metazoa; Chordata; Aves; Columbiformes; Columbidae
Exons: 3
Source: RefSeq, a predicted model, not a curated record
AGACUGGCCCCUCACACCUGAAAUCAGCAGCAGAAGGGGUGGGUGGACAUGUAUGGACUGACCCUUCUCCAACACUGGAACAAGAACAUCCUUGACAGGUAUCCUUCCAGCCUGUUCUUGGACACUCAUCAGAACGCCUGCGAAGCUGCUGUCCUCUAUGGACUAAGGAGAGCAAGAACCACCUUGAUUUUAUUCUGCCCAAGAGCCUAACUCCUGUACACUCCCAUUUAGGAGACCGUAAGACAAAGUCUUGUCCAAGCUUACGCAGCUAUCCAUGGCACUGGAAAAAAAGUCAAAUAUAGACCAUCCAAACCCCAAACCCUCUGGACAACCAGACAAGGCAGACCUAACGCUCAAAGGGAAAGUCAGCCAGUGCGCAGCCCUGUCAAGAUCUCGAGAAAUGUUCCAGGCAGGCUUUAGAUCAGACCUAUCACUUCC